This 494-nucleotide ribosomal RNA is filed under the name uncultured bacterium. RNAcentral describes it as "partial 16S ribosomal RNA". It matches the Rfam family "Bacterial small subunit ribosomal RNA", at positions 28 to 507 of the family's 1533-position model. The record is from RNAcentral.
GACGAACGCUGGCGGCGCGCUUAACACAUGCAAGUCGAACGGAAAGGCCUGCUUUCCCUUGUGGAUUGCGGGUACUCGAGUGGCGAACGGGUGAGUAACACGUGAGUGAUCUGCCCCCAACUCGGGUAUAAGCCUGGGAAACUGGGUCUAAUUCCCGAUAGGACUGCAGGGUGGUGCCUGUGGUGGAAAACGAUUUUCUAGUGGUUGGGGAUGAGCUCGCGGCCUAUCAGCUUGUUGGUGGGGUAAUGGCCUACCAAGGCGGCGACGGGUAGCCGGCCUGAGAGGGUGGACGGCCACAUUGGGACUGAGAUACGGCCCAGACUCCUACGGGAGGCAGCAGUGGGGAAUAUUGCACAAUGGGCGGAAGCCUGAUGCAGCGACGCCGCGUGGGGGAUGACGGCCUUCGGGUUGUAAACUCCUUUCGACCGCGAGGAAGCCACCUGGUUGGAAGGGUGGUGACGGUAGUGGUAGAAGAAGCACCGGCUAACUACGUG